RNAcentral lists this ribosomal RNA (488 nucleotides) under bacterium enrichment culture clone OZDCA243. RNAcentral describes it as "bacterial SSU rRNA". It matches the Rfam family "Bacterial small subunit ribosomal RNA", at positions 9 to 477 of the family's 1533-position model. The record is from RNAcentral.
GAGUUUGAUCAUGGCUCAGAUUGAACGCUGGAGGCGUGCUUAACACAUGCAAGUCGCGCGAGAAAGGGACUUCGGUCCUGAGUAGAGCGGCGCACGGGUGAGUAACGCGUGGGUGAUCUCCCCUGGUGAUCGGGAUAACAGCUGGAAACGGCUGCUAAUACCGGAUAAUCUUCAUGUUUAGCUUCAUGGGGUAAAGGUGGCCUCUGCUUGCAAGCUACCACAUCAGGAUGAGCCCGCGUCUCAUUAGCUAGUUGGUGGGGUAACGGCCUACCAAGGCGACGAUGAGUAGCUGGUCUGAGAGGAUGACCAGCCACACUGGGACUGGAACACGGCCCAGACUCCUACGGGAGGCAGCAGUGGGGAAUAUUGCGCAAUGGGCGAAAGCCUGACGCAGCGACGCCUCGUGAGGGAUGAAGGUCUUCGGAUCGUAAACCUCUGUCAAGAGGGAAGAAACCAUUGGAGUCGAACAGGCUUCUUUGCUGACGGUA